GAGUAGACCUUUCCUGCCUUUUCCCACCAUCCUAAGGAGCAAGUAUCCUUGCAGAUCUCAGGAAAGAUAGUGGAAUUAUUUGCUGACCUGGUCUAUGCACCACCACCCAGUUCAGAGCAGCCCUGCAGUGCUGCCUCCCGCCAUUGGGUCAGCAGUGUGGUCAAGGCGUGAGCAAUGCCUAGCGCCCCUAAGCCUGUCUAGGGCCCUGCCACCUGGAGGUCUGCCGGAAGAGGGAAUGGUAGGUUGGAUGGGGGCUGCCCCUCCAGAAAGGGGCCACCAGGCACUGACCUCCUGGCCCCCACUUGGUGUGAGCCUGGGGCAGGGCUGGAAAUGCUCACCUGGGGGUUGGAAUUUGGAAUUCCUGGCCUUUUCCCUCCUGUUCUUCCUCCUGCAUGGGCUGCCCUGGGGGACUUGGCAUGGGCCUUUAGUGUUUGUUUUCUGGGCCCCCUCACAUGCCAGAGUUGCAAUGUUCCCCCCGCCCCCCCUUAUUUCCCUGCCAGCCCAGGAGCUCCCAUCUCACCUCCUACCUCCUUGGUCACUGACUCGCUGGCUGCGUUUGGAAAUCUGGACUUCAGCAUGAGACUUUGGCCUGGUUCUUUGCCUCCCACAGGUGGGGGACAUUGGCUGGGCUGAAGUAAUGUCCCAAGAGGAAGGUCUUCUAGCUCAGGGACUCCUGUGCCUCCAGUUCUGGGCCAGGUUACCCCUGGAGAAAUCAGGAAGUGAGGGAGGACCAGUAACAGAGUGUGAGGGCACUGGGCUUCUGGCCACCUGGCCCUAGCUUUUCCUGCUUCCCCUCUUGGUGUGUGGCCUCAGGCAAACCCUUCAGCAUCUCUGGGUCUCGUGUCUUCCCCAUCUUGGUUUCAUUCCAGCUCACGGUGGGGCCAUACUGGAGGAAACAGACCCCACCAACACCAGCGCCAUUUUCCUGGGCUCUGAGCUCCACAUGGAGUUUGCUGUGGUUGGCAGCUCCCGUUAGCCUUUACAGGUAUAUGUGGACGAGUGUGUGAUCAGCCCCAGCCAGGAUAUGGAAGUGGCCCCUGCACACUACAGCCUUGUCAGGAAUCAUGGGUACUGAACCUGGAGGAGGAGGAUAGGGUAGGAUGGGUACAAUUCAGUGGGUGAUAUCUCUGGGGAAGCUGGGACAGGGGCUGAGAGCCUUCCAGGGCUGGAAGGCAUGGAUGCCCAGAUAGUGCUCCCUGGGCGUUCUUGAGUAGUCCUUUCUAGGCCAGGGGAGCAAGAAUGCUUUACUGGCCCUUUCACCUCUGGAGCCUCUGUUUGCCCUUCUGUGAAAUGGGGAUAGUGCCAGAAUCUUCAAAGCCUGCUGUGUAGACUGAAUGGGGUGACGCUUAGCUCAGUGCUUGGCAUGCAGAAUUCUCAACAAAUGAUGGUGUAUGGUAGUGUUGGGGCUAGGACCAGAUCCCAGUUCAGGGGUCUGGCCCUGCUGACCUUCCAACCUGGGCCUUCCAGGUGCCUGGUGAACGGCAAGAACUUCCACUCCCACUUCGUGCCCCAAGAGGUCCCCAAGAGACUGGAGCUCUCCUUCCAGGCCUUCAGCUUUACUGGUACUCCUGCUGAUGUGAGUGGAAACAGAUAACCCCCUCCCCUCUCUGCCACCCCGUAGGAACAGAGACCCAAGCUGAGGAAUCUUUGGAAGUUAUGGGGUGCACCACAAACUGCUGCUCUGGAAUCUAAAGGUCCCAUCUGAUGCUACCAAGAAGGCCUGUUCCUUCCACAGGGGCACUCAUGGUAAGAACUUCUGGAUGCCUCCCUGGGAGUAUGUGUGACAGUUGUGAGAUUACCUGCCUGGCCCCCUGAUUACCCUAUCAAAGGUCCUUGGCAGAUUCCAAUCAGGCCUCUGAGAAGGCUUCCCAUCAGGACCCUGAGAAGGCUUCCAAUCAGGUGACAGAGAAGGCUGACUUGUCCUGUGAACUGAGUCAGGCUUCUGACUCUAGGGGGCCUGGAGACGAGCGAGGGAGCCCUCUCCUGUAGCCUGGGCUCUUCUCCAGGUCCCCUUCACACUGAGAGACACUGGAGCUCUGCAUCCAGUGGUCUUUGGCAGUCCCUGUAGAACCAGGCUCUGGCUUCCUCCUUCUCCCCUCCGCCUCCUCCCUGGGCCCCCAUUUGUGGCCUGCCAGGGCAGAGCUUGAAACCUCAGGCUAUCUGGCUGUAAGCUUGCUUACCUCGUGACCUUGGAAGCCACUUACGCCUUUGAGCCUCCUUAUCCAGAACAGUAACUGCUGCCCACUGCAUAUUGUUAAUACAUGCUGCCUUUGUUGCCUGCCUGCCAAAGGAGGGGCCAGGGCUUCCAUUUUUCUGUUUAAUCCUCCCAAGAAUCCUCCCAAUAAUCCCAUGCAGUAGACACAAUCAGGUCCCAUUCUAUAGAUGGGGAAACUGAGGCUUGAGGUCACAUAGGCACCGUUCGAGGCUGGUAUCCCUGCACCCUCUCCCAUGUGAACAACAUGGUUCUGGGUAAUGGGGGCUGUCAUCCAGUCUCCUCCCUGCCCCUGCUGGUGCACUUCCUGCCUCUGCUGGUGCACUUUCUGCCCCUACUGGUAUAUUUGCUGCCUCUGCUGGGGCGCUUCCUGCCUCGGCUGGUGUAUCUCCUGCCCCUGCUGGUGCACUUUCUGCCCCCGCUGAUGCACUUCCUGCCUCUGCUGGUGCACUUCCUGGCUCUGCUGGCGCACUUCCUGCCUCUGUUGGUGCACUUCCUGGCUCUGCUGGCGCAGUUCUUGCCUCUGCUGGUGUAUUUCCUGCCCCUGCUGGUGUACUUCCUUCCCCUGCUGGUGGACUUCCUGCCUCUGCUGGCGCACUUCUUGCCUCUCCAGGCCCUACCUAGCCUCUCCCUCUUAUAUAUGGAAGUCUUCCCAGUUCACUGACACUGGUAACAGGGACUCUGCUCUUGGUGUUGCUGUCUGCCCUGGGGAUGGGCAUCUGUGUCUUCCUUUACUACUGCUGGCUCAGGACCCAGAGCUUUGAAGCAUGUCCAGAUGCAGGUCCGGGCACCAGAGUCUAAGGAGCCCCCACACCCACCAGGAUUUUCCAAUAAAGAGAUGUUCACCAAUGAGUUUAGCUCUCUGGUUUUCCUGAGGAAGGGCUGGGAACAUGAGGUCCCCAGAACAGGGGCCACUGUUGGGGAUACUGUCUUAGGCAUGGCAGGACUCAGACAGGGGUGGGGAGGGGUGGAAAGAAGUGCGUUUUUCCUCCAAACCUGUGGCUGCCUUGGGUAGGCUGGGCUCAGAGCACUCCUGCCUUUGCCCCUUAAUGUUUGAGAAGCCCAGCAGCCCCCUAGGGCGGAGGUUGAGCCUCUUGAGGAUGA
This is a long non-coding RNA of Pan troglodytes (chimpanzee), 3316 nucleotides long. RefSeq lists it as uncharacterized. The record is from RefSeq and is a predicted model, not a curated record. The transcript is spliced from 3 exons. NCBI's taxonomy places the organism in Eukaryota, Metazoa, Chordata, Mammalia, Primates, Hominidae.